Molecule: ribosomal RNA, 468 nt
Filed under: uncultured bacterium
Lineage: Bacteria
Description: partial 16S ribosomal RNA
Rfam family: Bacterial small subunit ribosomal RNA
Source: RNAcentral
GACGAACGCUGGCGGCGUGCUUAACACAUGCAAGUCGAACGGAAAGGCCCUGCUUUUGUGGGGUGCUCGAGUGGCGAACGGGUGAGUAACACGUGAGUAACCUGCCCUUGACUUUGGGGUAACUUCAGGAAACUGGGGCUAAUACCGGAUAGGAGCUCCUGCUGCAUGGUGGGGGUUGGAAAGUUUCGGCGGUUGGGGAUGGACUCGCGGCUUAUCAGCUUGUUGGUGGGGUAGUGGCUUACCAAGGCUUUGACGGGUAGCCGGCCUGAGAGGGUGACCGGCGACAUUGGGACUGAGGUACGGCCCAGACUCCUACGGGAGGCAACAGUGGGAAAUAUUGCAGAGUGGGCGGGAGCCUGAUGCAGCAACGCCGCGUGCGGGAUGACGGCCUUCGGGUUGUAAACCGCUUUCGCCUGUGACGAGGCGUGAGUGACGGUAAUGGGUAAAGAAGCACCGGCUAACUACGUG